GUCCACGCCCUAAACGAUGUCAACUAGGUGUUGGGAGGGUAAAACCUUUUAGUACCGUAGCUAACGCGAGAAGUUGACCGCCUGGGGGAGUACGGCCGCAAGGUUAAAACUCAAAGGAAUUGACGGGGACCCGCACAAGCGGUGGAUGAUGUGGAUUAAUUCGAUGCAACGCGAAAAACCUUACCUACCCUUGACAUGUUCAGGAGUCCGAAGAGAUUUGGAUGUGCUCGAAAGAGAACUGGAACACAGGUGCUGCAUGGCUGUCGU
Molecule: ribosomal RNA, 267 nt
Filed under: uncultured bacterium
Lineage: Bacteria
Description: partial 16S ribosomal RNA
Rfam family: Bacterial small subunit ribosomal RNA
Source: RNAcentral